ACUCUGAGGUGCGAAGUGGUUCUGACCUUUUGGUACAGAGAAGUCAUUGAUGCCCGGCUUCCAGGAAAAGCUGCUAGCCAUAACUUAUAGAGAACCGUACCGCAAACCGACACAGGUGGACAGGUAGAGAAUACUAAGGCGCUUGAGAGAACUCGGGUGAAGGAACUAGGCAAAAUGGUACCGUAACUUCGGGAGAAGGUACGCCCUUUCUGGUGAUGGGAUUUACUUUCAGAGCUGGAGAGGGCCGCAGAGACCAGGUGGCUGCGACUGUUUAUUAAAAACACAGCACUCUGCAAAUUCGUAAGAAGACGUAUAGGGUGUGACGCCUGCCCGGUGCCGGAAGGUUAAUUGAUGGGGUUAUCUUCGGAGAAGCUCUUGAUCGAAGCCCCGGUAAACGGCGGCCGUAACUAUAACGGUCCUAAGGUAGCGAAAUUCCUUGUCGGGUAAGUUCCGACCUGCACGAAUGGCGUAACGAUGGCCACACUGUCUCCACCCGAGACUCAGUGAAAUUGAAAUCGCUGUGAAGAUGCAGUGUACCCGCGGCUAGACGGAAAGACCCCGUGAACCUUUACUAUAGUUUUGCACUGGACUUUGAUGAUGACUGUGUAGGAUAGGUGGGAGGCUGUGAAGUGAGGACGCUAGUUCUCAUGGAGCCGCCCUUGAAAUACCACCCUGUUGUUAUUGAGGUUCUAACUUGGUCCAGUAAUCCUGGAUGAGGACAGUGUAUGAUGGGUAGUUUGACUGGGGCGGUCUCCUCCCAAAGAGUAACGGAGGAGCACAAAGGUACCCUCGGUACGGUCGGACAUCGUACCAAGAGUGUAAAGGCAAAAGGGUGCUUGACUGCGAGAGUGACGGCUCGAGCAGGAACGAAAGUUGGUCUUAGUGAUCCGGUGGUUCUGAAUGGAAGGGCCAUCGCUCAACGGAUAAAAGGUACUCCGGGGAUAACAGGCUGAUACCGCCCAAGAGUUCAUAUCGACGGCGGUGUUUGGCACCUCGAUGUCGGCUCAUCACAUCCUGGGGCUGAAGCAGGUCCCAAGGGUAUGGCUGUUCGCCAUUUAAAGUGGUACGCGAGCUGGGUUUAGAACGUCGUGAGACAGUUCGGUCCCUAUCUGCCGUGGGCGUAGGAAAAUUGAGAGGAGCUGCUCCUAGUACGAGAGGACCGGAGUGGACGAACCUCUGGUGCACCGGUUGUCACGCCAGUGGCAUGGCCGGGUAGCUAAGUUCGGACGGGAUAACCGCUGAAAGCAUCUAAGCGGGAAGCCUCCCUCAAGAUGAGUUUUCCCAUGAAGCCCGUUGAAGACUACGACGUUGAUAGGCAAGGUGUGGAAGCGCAGUAAUGCGUGAAGCUAACUUGUACUAAUUGGCUGAUUGUCUUGACCAUAUAAUCUGAG
RNAcentral lists this ribosomal RNA (1391 nucleotides) under Legionella pneumophila. RNAcentral's name for it is "partial 23S ribosomal RNA". It matches the Rfam family "Bacterial large subunit ribosomal RNA", at positions 1553 to 2925 of the family's 2925-position model. Lineage: Bacteria; Pseudomonadati; Pseudomonadota; Gammaproteobacteria; Legionellales; Legionellaceae. The record is from RNAcentral.